Long non-coding RNA from Oncorhynchus tshawytscha (Chinook salmon), 552 nucleotides. NCBI's taxonomy places the organism in Eukaryota, Metazoa, Chordata, Actinopteri, Salmoniformes, Salmonidae. The record is from Ensembl.
GUUAUUCUGAUGGGGGUUCUAAUGAGGUAGUUAUUCUGAUGGGGUUCUGAUGAGGCAGUUAUUCUGAUGGAGGUUCUAAUGAGGUAGUUAUUCUGAUGGGGGUUCUAAUGAGGCAGUUAUUCUGAUGGGGUUCUAAUGAGGCAGUUAUUCUGAUGGGGUUCUAAUGAGGCAGUUAGCAGAUUUUCCACUUUUAAGGAGUUCUGACGAGAUCAAUUUGACUUAGUUCCAAUGUUCCACUCAGACAGACAGAACACAGCACAGCAUGCUGUGCACACGUGUGACAGAGCUUCUGUCCUGGAUGCUAUUCAGUGAUGAUUUUAGCAUGUAAAUAUUUGGGGGGACCAAAAACAUGUUGGGAUGCUUGCCAGCAAAGCCACUACACAACACAACACUAAAUAAUACAUUAAUUGGACUAUAACGUUGACAAAACGGUGCCCACAAACUGUUAGGGCCUACAGAAAGAUGUCCCAACAGCAGAGUUCCAACACCUUACCACAGCUACACUUGGCUUUCAGCGGAGCCUUGUCUGGCAGUGAAACAGUUCAUUCAGCC